RNAcentral lists this transfer RNA (69 nucleotides) under Spermophilus alashanicus (Alashan ground squirrel). RNAcentral's name for it is "tRNA-Ser". It matches the Rfam family "tRNA". Rfam says of the family: Transfer RNA (tRNA) molecules are approximately 80 nucleotides in length. Their secondary structure includes four short double-helical elements and three loops (D, anti-codon, and T loops). Further hydrogen bonds mediate the characteristic L-shaped molecular structure. tRNAs have two regions of fundamental functional importance: the anti-codon, which is responsible for specific mRNA codon recognition, and the 3' end, to which the tRNAs corresponding amino acid is attached (by aminoacyl-tRNA synthetases). tRNAs cope with the degeneracy of the genetic code in two manners: having more than one tRNA (with a specific anti-codon) for a particular amino acid; and 'wobble' base-pairing, i.e. permitting non-standard base-pairing at the 3rd anti-codon position. The record is from RNAcentral. Lineage: Eukaryota; Metazoa; Chordata; Mammalia; Rodentia; Sciuridae.
AAGAAAGUCAUAAUGGUUAUGGGGCUAGCUUGAAACUAGUUUUAGGAGGUUCGAUUCCUCCCUUUCUUG